AUUCAUUCAGCCGUGUGUCGCUGACCUGCAGCAGAGAGGACAGUUUAUAGGAUCCUGAGUUUAUCCACAUCGGGCUUCUUGAUUUCCUGUUUAGUCGGGGACACAGAGGAUGGGGGAUCCAAUGAGGAUGGUGAACUGGGACAGGGAGAUUAACUCCUUUCAGUAAAUGACAAUUGAAUAUAGAAACAAGACACGGGGGGAAAGACAGAGGACAACAUGCAGCAAAGGGCCACAGGUCGAAUCGUAUUCUGGAUGUAGCCUCUUGGGAUUCAAACCCUGUAUCUCUG
Plectropomus leopardus (leopard coralgrouper) is the source of this 287-nucleotide long non-coding RNA. RefSeq lists it as uncharacterized. NCBI's taxonomy places the organism in Eukaryota, Metazoa, Chordata, Actinopteri, Perciformes, Serranidae. The record is from RefSeq and is a predicted model, not a curated record.